Molecule: ribosomal RNA, 211 nt
Filed under: Vibrio cholerae
Lineage: Bacteria; Pseudomonadati; Pseudomonadota; Gammaproteobacteria; Vibrionales; Vibrionaceae
Description: partial 23S ribosomal RNA
Rfam family: Bacterial large subunit ribosomal RNA
Source: RNAcentral
GGUUGUGUCGCCAGACGCAUUGCCCGGUAGCUAAGUUCGGAAUUGAUAAGCGCUGAAAGCAUCUAAGCGCGAAGCGAGCCCUGAGAUGAGUCUUCCCUGACAGUUUAACUGUCCUAAAGGGUUGUUCGAGACUAGAACGUUGAUAGGCAGGGUGUGUAAGCGUUGUGAGGCGUUGAGCUAACCUGUACUAAUUGCCCGUGAGGCUUAACCA